Molecule: transfer RNA, 75 nt
Filed under: Staphylococcus aureus
Lineage: Bacteria; Bacillati; Bacillota; Bacilli; Caryophanales; Staphylococcaceae
Description: tRNA-Ile
Rfam family: tRNA
About the family: Transfer RNA (tRNA) molecules are approximately 80 nucleotides in length. Their secondary structure includes four short double-helical elements and three loops (D, anti-codon, and T loops). Further hydrogen bonds mediate the characteristic L-shaped molecular structure. tRNAs have two regions of fundamental functional importance: the anti-codon, which is responsible for specific mRNA codon recognition, and the 3' end, to which the tRNAs corresponding amino acid is attached (by aminoacyl-tRNA synthetases). tRNAs cope with the degeneracy of the genetic code in two manners: having more than one tRNA (with a specific anti-codon) for a particular amino acid; and 'wobble' base-pairing, i.e. permitting non-standard base-pairing at the 3rd anti-codon position.
Source: RNAcentral
GGCGGUGUAGCUCAGCUGGUUAGAGCGCACGCCUGAUAAGCGUGAGGUCGGUGGUUCGAGUCCACUCCACCGCCA